GGUUUCCGUAGGUGAACCUGCGGAAGGAUCAUUACCGAGUGUAGGGUUCCUAGCGAGCCCAACCUCCCACCCGUGUUUACUGUAACCUUAGUUGCUUCGGCGGGCCCGCCUUUAAGGCCGCCGGGGGGCAUCAGCCCCCGGGCCCGCGCCCGCCGGAGACACCACGAACUCUGUCUGAUCUAGUGAAGUCUGAGUUGAUUGUAUCGCAAUCAGUUAAAACUUUCAACAAUGGAUCUCUUGGUUCCGGCAUCGAUGAAGAACGCAGCGAAAUGCGAUAACUAGUGUGAAUUGCAGAAUUCCGUGAAUCAUCGAGUCUUUGAACGCACAUUGCGCCCCCUGGUAUUCCGGGGGGCAUGCCUGUCCGAGCGUCAUUGCUGCCCAUCAAGCACGGCUUGUGUGUUGGGUCGUCGUCCCCUCUUCGGGGGGGACGGGCCCCAAAGGCAGCGGCGGCACCGCGUCCGAUCCUCGAGCGUAUGGGGCUUUGUCACCCGCUCUGUAGGCCCGGCCGGCGCUUGCCGAACGCAAAACAACCAUUCUUUCCAGGUUGACCUCGGAUCAGGUAGGGAUACCCGC
RNAcentral lists this ribosomal RNA (573 nucleotides) under Aspergillus tamarii. RNAcentral describes it as "eukaryotic LSU rRNA". The stretch from base 218 to 371 matches the Rfam family "5.8S ribosomal RNA". Lineage: Eukaryota; Fungi; Ascomycota; Eurotiomycetes; Eurotiales; Aspergillaceae. The record is from RNAcentral.